AUGUGGCAACCCAAACAGCCUGGGGUGGAGAUGAAGCCCGAAGCUUCAGGAAAAGCUAGAAAGAGGAAACACCAGGAUGGAAGUGGAACAGAGACAGAGUCUGACGCUUUGGGACAACGUACAAAGACCAAACGCCAGGAUGGGACAGAGAUGAUAUUUAAAGAAUCUGGCAAGGCCUGGAAGAAGACCCCUCCGGAGCAUCAAGACCUAGAGCUUGAGAGAGACCAGUCGGGUAAGGGUCAGGUACAGAAGUCCCAGGAAGACGGUCCAAGACAACCCCUAGAGUACAUCAAAGGCCCUUCAGAUCAGGCUGAGAGGAAGCCUGCUGAUUGUCGCAAGGGGUGUAAGCGUCCCUACUCUGCCCUGGAGGAAAACCAACAAAGCCCCCCAAAGGAAAAGCACGAGAGGUUACGUAAACACCUUAAAUGUGUUGAAGACCCACAGCCUGACCCACACAGGCCUCAACCAGUAACAUCCAAGAUGAAGGGCAGCGUGUCAGGGCACAGUCAUCGCUCACAAACAACACAGAAAGAUCAAGAACCACCUACACCAGACGAGAGAGAGGGCAGAUAUUCAGAGGACAAGUCCAUUACAGAAAAGGAAGGUGGUGUAAAGCAUGACGCAAGAAGGGGGAACAACUUGGAGCCUGCCUUACCCGGAACACCAGCUCCAAUCAUCCUGGAUAGUGGCAGAGGCGAUAGCUUCCUCCCCAACAGGAUGGCAGUACUUGAGGCAGAGAAAAAGCCUGUCAAAAACCUAAAGGGGGGCAGAGAAGUCGAUCAAAAUUUUCAUGUUACAGAAGACAUGGAGAAGGAUAUUAAGAGCGCACUGGGUCCAGGACCCCAAGAGGAAAUCCUAAGUAGUAGAUUCAAAUUGCAAAUCACCCGAAGAGAUAUCCAGACCCUGAAGAACAGUCAAUGGCUCAAUGAUGAGGUCAUCAAUUUCUACAUGAACCUUCUGGUUGAGAGAAAUGAAAACCAAGGCUACCCAGCCCUUCAUGUGUUCAGCACUUUCUUUUACCCCAAGCUAAAGCAGAGCGGUUACACUGCUGUGAAAAGGUGGACCCGAGGAAUCGAUCUCUUUGACAAAGAACUUAUCUUGGUGCCUAUUCACCAGAGGGUACAUUGGAGCCUGGUGGUAAUCGAUUUGAGAAAACAAAGUAUCAUAUACCUCGAUUCCAUGGGACAGACAGGGCAGACUAUCUGUGAGACCAUCUUCCAAUAUUUACAAAAUGAGAGCAAGACACGAAGGAACAUCGAGCUGGACCCUUUGGAGUGGAAACAACACAGCAUGUCAGCAGAGGAGAUUCCUCAGCAACGGAAUGGGAGUGACUGUGGGAUGUUCACCUGUAAAUAUGCAGACUACAUCGCUAGAGACCAACCUGUCACCUUCUCUCAGCAGCACAUGCCCAUCUUCAGGAAGAGGAUGGUAUGGGAAAUCCUGCACAGUCACUUACUGUAA
Molecule: RNA transcript, 1461 nt
Organism: Grammomys surdaster
Lineage: Eukaryota; Metazoa; Chordata; Mammalia; Rodentia; Muridae
Gene name: sentrin-specific protease 2 pseudogene
Exons: 1
Source: RefSeq, a predicted model, not a curated record